Molecule: ribosomal RNA, 253 nt
Filed under: uncultured bacterium
Lineage: Bacteria
Description: partial 16S ribosomal RNA
Rfam family: Bacterial small subunit ribosomal RNA
Source: RNAcentral
UACGUAGGGUGCGAGCGUUGUCCGGAUUUAUUGGGCGUAAAGAGCGUGUAGGCGGCCUGAAAGGUCAGCUGUGAAAACUCGAGGCUCAACCUCGAGACGUCGGUUGAAACCAUCUGGCUAGAGUCCGGAAGAGGAGUGUGGAAUUCCCGGUGUAGCGGUGAAAUGCGCAGAUAUCGGGAAGAACACCAGUGGCGAAGGCGGCUAUCUGGACGGUUUCUGACGCUAAGACGCGAAAGCGUGGGGAGCAAACAGG